UGGGGAAUAUUGCACAAUGGGCGCAAGCCUGAUGCAGCCAUGUCGCGUGUAUGAAGAAGGCCUUCGGGUUGUAAAGUACUUUCAGUCGGGAGGAAGGUGGUAAGGUUAAUAACCUUAUCAAUUGACGUUACCGACAGAAGAAGCACCGGCUAACUCCGUGCCAGCAGCCGCGGUAAUACGGAGGGUGCAAGCGUUAAUCGGAAUUACUGGGCGUAAAGCGCACGCAGGCGGUCUGUCAAGUCGGAUGUGAAAUCCCCGGGCUUAACCUGGGAACUGCAUUCGAAACUGGCAGGCUAGAGUCUUGUAGAGGGGGGUAGAAUUCCAGGUGUAGCGGUGAAUUGCGUAGCGAUCUGGAGGAAUACCGGUGGCGAAGGCGGCCCCCUGGACAAAGUCUGACGCUCAGGUGCGAAAGCGUGGGGAGCAAACAGG
This 429-nucleotide ribosomal RNA is filed under the name Chloroflexota bacterium. RNAcentral describes it as "Chloroflexi bacterium partial 16S ribosomal RNA". It matches the Rfam family "Bacterial small subunit ribosomal RNA", at positions 355 to 776 of the family's 1533-position model. The record is from RNAcentral. Lineage: Bacteria; Bacillati; Chloroflexota.